RNAcentral lists this ribosomal RNA (461 nucleotides) under uncultured bacterium. Its description in RNAcentral is "partial 16S ribosomal RNA". It matches the Rfam family "Bacterial small subunit ribosomal RNA", at positions 338 to 795 of the family's 1533-position model. The record is from RNAcentral.
CCUACGGGUGGGCAGCAGUGAGGAAUAUUGGUCAAUGGGCGGAAGCCUGAACCAGCCAAGUAGCGUGCAGGAUGACGGCCCUACGGGUUGUAAACUGCUUUUAUACGGGAAUAACCCGCCUUACGUGUCGGUCUUUGCAUGUACCGUAUGAAUAAGGACCGGCUAAUUCCGUGCCAGCAGCCGCGGUAAGACGGAAGGUCCGGGCGUUAUCCGGAUUUAUUGGGUUUAAAGGGAGCGUAGGCCGCAUGUCAAGCGUGCUGUGAAAUGUCCGGGCUCAACCCGGGCCUUGCAGCGCGAACUGGCGGGCUUGAGUCCGCGGAAAGCAGGCGGAAUUCGUCGUGUAGCGGUGAAAUGCUUAGAUAUGACGAAGAACCCCGAUUGCGAAGGCAGCUUGAUGCAGCGGAACUGACGCUGAUGCUCGAAAGCGCGGGUAUCGAACAGGAUUAGAUACCCUUGUAGUC